UCACAUAUCCUUCCCAGAAAACCAUUGUACAGAUCCAAACGUGGAAACAAGUCAAUUUCUAGCAAAAACAAUCCAACCCAGAAACAAACUCGGCAAGUCAAAGCUGCAUUACAGCUAAAGAUCUUAACUUGGACAAGCUCCUUCACUCGUGAAAAUAAAAUUCAGAACUGUUCACUUGAUAAGCAGACACAAGAAGAAACAAAAAUAACUAACAGCUUCACAUAUGUUUGUUCACAUUAUUCUAAUACUUGGAAAAAAACCAAAAUAAAGAAAAACAAAAAUAGAAAUUCAUUAAACGGCGUUGAAUUCCAAAAACCUGAAAUUGUGAAGAUUUUGAAACUUCCCCACAAGUUCUCAGAAACCAAAUUCAAAGAUAACCCAUAAUAGAUUCUAGAACGAUAGCUUACCGGGAUACCCAGACGCUAUAAAUGUUUUCAGCGCAUUGCUCGAUCAGAUCUAGGGCAUAAUCCGAACGGGAUUAAACAGUGGUGACAGUUGUGAGAUUCCAAAGAUCUCCAAAA
Molecule: long non-coding RNA, 521 nt
Filed under: Vigna radiata
Lineage: Eukaryota; Viridiplantae; Streptophyta; Magnoliopsida; Fabales; Fabaceae
Description: long non-coding RNA (VRAD_LNC009960)
Source: RNAcentral